This 214-nucleotide long non-coding RNA is filed under the name Manihot esculenta (cassava). Its description in RNAcentral is "long non-coding RNA (MESC_LNC010448)". The record is from RNAcentral. Lineage: Eukaryota; Viridiplantae; Streptophyta; Magnoliopsida; Malpighiales; Euphorbiaceae.
UCCUAUAUGUUCUUGCAUUUGUGGGCCUUUUCAUAGAGGGAGCUCGAUUCUCUGUUAUUUCCUCUAUACUUAGCUUCAUUCUACCUGAGUGUUUCAUGUUGCGAGUCUAUCCGAGCUAGGAGCUCGGUUCUUUGCUCUUUGCCUAGGUUUUUAUGCCUAUAGUCUGUGACGCUGCUUAUUUCGCGAGCUCAGGAGUUCGGAAUUUUGCUUUUUU